CCCCCCAAUUAAUUACAAGUGUACUUGAUUUGUCCUUUGGUCCGUCCUUUCUUUUGGAUGGAUUAGGAAUAUACUAGGGAAUAUUCUUGGACUAACAACAAGCAUACUCUCUUUCUUCCCUUCUUUUGGAUCAAACAAACACUUUGAAUAUUCUUCUUCACUAAGAUAUGAAGAUCAUAGAUGAACAAGAUGAAUAUUCAAGUGUUGACCAAGUUUGACCAACAAGCAAAUGAACUUCAAAUCUGAAUUUUCUUUUAGAUCUAGGUUCCUUAGGCCAAGAAAAACACAACCAACAUAAAAUCAGCCACAAAAUGCCACAAACAAGAUGACUAAAAACAAGAUCCCACCUCAAAAGCUUCAAAUAAAGCACAACAAUGGUGGAUCAAGCUCAAAUUCAACC
This 400-nucleotide long non-coding RNA is filed under the name Capsicum annuum. RNAcentral's name for it is "long non-coding RNA (CANN_LNC000173)". Lineage: Eukaryota; Viridiplantae; Streptophyta; Magnoliopsida; Solanales; Solanaceae. The record is from RNAcentral.